Long non-coding RNA from Helicoverpa zea (corn earworm), 885 nucleotides. RefSeq lists it as uncharacterized. The transcript is spliced from 2 exons. Lineage: Eukaryota; Metazoa; Arthropoda; Insecta; Lepidoptera; Noctuidae. The record is from RefSeq and is a predicted model, not a curated record.
UGCAGGCGAUUCUUUCCGCAGCGGAUGACAUUGACAUUUUGUUAUGUUUAGAAAUCGAACACGGAUGUUGUUAAAAUAAAUAUUUGGAGGGUCAAGAGUUCAACAACAAAUUGUAAUUGCUUUUGAAUUAGAAUCUAUGUCUCAAGAUAAUAUAAUGAAUUAAUAAAAAUGCAAUUAAAAUCAUUAUUAUGGUAAACAAUUAUAUUUUCCUAGCUGUCAGUUCUGAUAAAAUUACUAAACGAAGAGACAACUGCCAAAGUUUGCGUUCCAGACCAAAAUGAAAAUAGUUUAAUUCUUAGCAUAGAAAAUCAAAACAGUCGGAUUAUUCCUAUGAAAAGGCAUGAAAGUAAAAGAGAUACCGAUAAAACAUAUGAUCAAUAUUUACUAUGUAGAAAUCUCUGGAAUAAAAUAUUUUUGAAUUUUAAUUCAAUUCUGUUCGAUUCAAAGUUAGCAUUGUUCAUUAUCUUAAAACAGAAAAUAAGUUAUAAUACAUGAAUAUGACUUCAAUUGCUCCAUCAGAUUCAGAGUCAAAUGUAAGCGGUUUCAUGCGGUACAGUGAUAAAGAUGUUAAAAAUUUGUACACUUCAAUUAUACAGAACAUGGAAACAAUCAGCCAAGAUAUCUUACAAGUUGAAAAUAAUAUUAAAAACCUAAUGAAACAAGCAGGCCCUUUGGAGGGUCAACUUUCCAUUCUUCUGCAAUCACUGCCAAAACCAAACUUGGAACUACCUAUGGAUACCGAUUAGCUGUUAUUUUAGAACGAUUACUUGGUUGAUAUAUGAUGAUGUAUGUAUUUUUAAGAAAUAAAAAUAUUAUCGAGUGUAGGAAAGGUGUGCAUAAGCCUUAGGACUUUUUAAGUAACUGAAAUAAAACUUCUUUCAAAUG